Molecule: transfer RNA, 76 nt
Filed under: Sphingobium sp.
Lineage: Bacteria; Pseudomonadati; Pseudomonadota; Alphaproteobacteria; Sphingomonadales; Sphingobiaceae
Description: tRNA-Gly
Rfam family: tRNA
About the family: Transfer RNA (tRNA) molecules are approximately 80 nucleotides in length. Their secondary structure includes four short double-helical elements and three loops (D, anti-codon, and T loops).
Source: RNAcentral
GCGGGUGUAGCUCAGUUGGUAGAGCGCUACCUUGCCAAGGUAGAGGCCACGGGUUCGAGCCCCGUUACCCGCUCCA